This is a non-coding RNA of Canis lupus familiaris (dog), 87 nucleotides long. NCBI's taxonomy places the organism in Eukaryota, Metazoa, Chordata, Mammalia, Carnivora, Canidae. The record is from Rfam.
GGGGAGGCCGGAUCCUGGGCUGUGUCCCGGCGCCCUGUGCUCCGGGGCCUGCGCUGUUGGAUUCGCGCUCCCGCCCCGCAGCCCCCU